UACGUAGGGGGCGAGCGUUAUCCGGAAUUACUGGGCGUAAAGCGCACGCAGGCGGUUCGCCAAGUUUGGAGUGACAGUUGUCGGCUCAACCGACAAAGGACUUCAAAAACUGGUGAACUUGAGGACGAGAGAGGAACAUGGAACUCCAGGUGUAGUAGUGAAAUGCGUAGAUAUCUGGAAGAACACCAAUGGCGAAAGCACUCUGCUGGGCCGACACUGACACUGAGAGACGAAAGCUAGGGGAGCAAAUGGG
This 253-nucleotide ribosomal RNA is filed under the name uncultured bacterium. RNAcentral's name for it is "partial 16S ribosomal RNA". It matches the Rfam family "Bacterial small subunit ribosomal RNA", at positions 524 to 776 of the family's 1533-position model. The record is from RNAcentral.